Molecule: ribosomal RNA, 253 nt
Filed under: uncultured bacterium
Lineage: Bacteria
Description: partial 16S ribosomal RNA
Rfam family: Bacterial small subunit ribosomal RNA
Source: RNAcentral
AACGUAGGAGGCAAGCGUUAUCCGGAAUUACUGGGCGUAAAGCGCACGUAGGCGGAUUGUUAAGUUAGGGGUGAAAUCCCAGGGCUCAACCCUGGAACUGCCUUUAAUACUGGCAAUCUCGAGUCCGAGAGAGGUGAGUGGAAUUCCGAGUGUAGAGGUGAAAUUCGUAGAUAUUCGGAGGAACACCAGUGGCGAAGGCGGCUCACUGGCUCGGUACUGACGCUGAGGUGCGAAAGCGUGGGGAGCAAACAGG